UAUCUUUGCGCCCUGAUUGUAUGUCCCUGAGCUAGACAAAGGAAUUAUCAAUCAGAUACAUAAAAAUCAUUUUAACAAUAUUGGCAUG
Molecule: regulatory RNA element, 88 nt
Rfam family: S15-Flavobacteria ribosomal protein leader
Source: Rfam